AUGCACUCAGUACGGGGCAAGGCCUGGACACAGUGGCACACACUAGAAUCCCAGCACUUGGACCGUGAGACAGAAUGGUCUCAAAGCCAAGUCUGUGGGGCUGAGGGACUAAGUUCAGCUCCCAGCACCCACGCCAGGCAGUUCACAACCACCUGUAACUCCAGCUCCAGGGGAUCCAAUGCCUCUCACCUCCAUAGGCACCAGAACCACACACACACACACACACACACACACACACACACACACACACACACACAGACACACAGACACACACACACACACACACACACACACACACACACACACACACACACGGCUAGAAGUGAUAUCAAAAGCCUUAAGGCAGGUGGAUCUCUGGAGUUAGAGGCCAAUCUUGUCUACAUAGAGUUCUAGGCCAGUGAGGAUAACAUAUGAGACCCUGUAUCAAAAAGAAAAAAAAUAGAUAAAUUUAAAAGGAAGGAAGGAAAGAAGGAAGGAAGGAAGGAAGGAAGGAAGGAAGGAAGGAAGGGCCCGCACCUUUAACUCCAGCAUUCAGAAGGCAGAGGCAGGUGAAUCUCUGAGUUUGAGGCCAGCCUGUUUCACACAGUGAAUUCUAGGCCAGCCAGGGCUACAGAAAAACUCUGUCUUGAAAAAACAAAAGAAAACAAAAGAAAAGAGAAGAAAAGAAAAGAAAAGAAAAGAAAAGAAAAGAAAAGCCCAAGUGCCCUGAUGCAUUCUUAUAACGCCGGUGCCCAGGAGGUGGAGUGGGAGGGUCACUGUUUGCAGCUUCCCUGGUUUGCAGCAAGUUCCAGGCCAGCCAGGGCUCUGCAGUGAGACCCUGGUUCAAAGAAAGAUGUGCACAGCAUGGUGCUCCCCCCACCUCCUCCAAAAAACAGUGAAUAUAUAAAUCUACUUUAGAAGAAUACAAACAGGACUUCCUUAAGUAAGAGAAACUAUUUGUGUAAAUGACACUAUUAGCUGAGCAGGCCACUGGGAAGGGAAAUAUCUGCAGAGUAUCUGAAAAUGUCACAGUACCCCAAACUCAAGUCAUCAAUAAUAAAAAUCACAUACUCUGGGUGGUGGUGGUGCACACCUUCAAUCCCAGCACUUGGGAGGCAGAGGCAGGUGGAUCUCUCUGAGUUUGAAGCCAGUCUGGUCUACAGAGAGAGCUUCAGGCCAGCAAAGGCUACACAGUGAAACCCUUUCUCUAAAUAAAUAAAUCUUAAAAACAAAACAAACAAAAAAAGGCGCAGAGCAAUAAGGCCAGCACAGCUGUGUCAGGAUCUAAAGGGGAAAACCGCAUGUGAUUUCCAAACAGAAGGAAGCGCUGGGCAGGUGGUUCAGUGGGUAGAGUGCCUACCUAGCAGGCACAAACCCUGGGCUCCACAGCCAGCACCACAGAAACCAAGCUUAGUAACACACACCUGUCAUGCCAGCACUCAGGAGGUGGGAGCAGGUUCAGUGCAGGGUCACACUAAGCUACAGAGAGAAUUCAAGAGCUACAUGAGACCUUGCCUUUAAGUAAAUAAAAUGCAGGACACAUAAAGAUUAAAAGUAAGGAAGUAAAGCUUGUAGGCCUGAGGAACCCCCCAGCUUAGUCUAGGUGCCUAUGGGCAAAUGCUAUGCAGUCAGCAUGGUGCAGGCCUGAGUGGGGCACAGGCUUGGGUGUGUUACAGCUCAGAAAGAGAUGAAACAGAGGAGCUGCCAAGUGGCUCAGCUGGUAAACGCGCUUGCUGAAGAAACCCCGUGAUCUGAGCCCCAUUCCUGGAACCCCCACGAAGAAAGAAGAAGAAAACUGACCUCCCCAUACACAUGCAUACACAAAACAAUUAUUAAAAUAUAGAGCUGGGCCUGGUGUUGGUGGCGAACGCCUUUAAUCCCAGCACUUGGGAGGCAGAGGCAGGCGAUCUCUGAAUCUAAGGUCAGCCUGGUUUACAGAACUAGUUCCAGGACAGCCAGGAAUGUACAGAGGAACCCUGUCUUGGGGAAAAACGGAAGGAAGGAAAGAAGGAAGGAAGGAAGGAAGGAAGGAGACGGUGUACACACCUAUUAUUCCAACACUCCAAUGCCUGAAGCAGGAGGAAAAGAGAAAGGGCAUUCAAAGCUAGUCUGGGCAAGAGUAAGAAUCCUCAGAAAAAAGAGAAGCUGGGCAAAGGAGGCAGCUCAGGGGCUAGGAGCACUGGCUGUUCUUGCAGAGGAACCAAGUUUGGUUCCCAGGACCCAUGAGGUAUCUCACAGUUGUCUGUUACCUCCAGUUCCAGGGUUUCUGGCACCCUCAAUUGGGCUUCAAGGGUAUACACAAACAAGGUGCAAAGACAUACAACAAAACACAUGAAACAAAAGAUUAAUUAAAAAAAAGGGGGGGGGGGCUGGAGAGAUGGCUCAGAGGUUAAGAGCACUGAUUGCUCUUCCAGAGGUCCUGAGUUCAAUUCCCAGCAACCACAUGGUGGCUCACAAACAUCCGUUAUGAGAUCUGGUGCCCUCUUCUGGUGUGCAAAUAUACAUGUAAGCAGAAUGUUGUAUACAUAAUAAAUAAAUAAAAUCUUAAAAAAAAAAAAAAACUUUAAAGAGUACUUGCUGACCAUGUGGUGGUUACACCUUUAAUCCCAGCACUCAGGAGACAGGCAAACCGAUUUCUGGGUCAGCCUAGACUAUAGAGUAAACUCCAGACAGCCGGGCUACACAGAGAAACCCUUUCUGGAAAUAAAUAAAGCACUUGCUGCUCUAGUUCAGUUUGCAGCACUUACAUGGAAGCUCACAGCUGUUUUUAACUUCAGUUCCAAGGGAUCUGACACCCUUUUCUGGCUUGCACAGACACCAGACAUGCAUGUACUUUGUAGCCCAAGCUGGCCUUGAACUCAAGAUACCUGUCUGCCUCUGUCUCCCAAGUGCUAGGAUUCAAGGUGUGCCCCACCACCACCCGGCAAGACU
This 2910-nucleotide long non-coding RNA is filed under the name Cricetulus griseus (Chinese hamster). RNAcentral describes it as "lncRNA (ENSCGRG00000026172.1)". The record is from RNAcentral. Lineage: Eukaryota; Metazoa; Chordata; Mammalia; Rodentia; Cricetidae.